Molecule: ribosomal RNA, 460 nt
Filed under: uncultured bacterium
Lineage: Bacteria
Description: partial 16S ribosomal RNA
Rfam family: Bacterial small subunit ribosomal RNA
Source: RNAcentral
CCUACGGGCGGCAGCAGUGAGGAAUCUUGGUCAAUGGACGAGAGUCUGAACCAGCCAAGUAGCGUGAAGGAUGACUGCCCUAUGGGUUGUAAACUUCUUUUAUAUGGGAAUAAAAUGUUCCACGUGUGGGACUUUGUAUGUACCAUAUGAAUAAGGAUCGGCUAACUCCGUGCCAGCAGCCGCGGUAAUACGGAGGAUCAGAGCGUUGUCCGGAUUUAUUGGGUUUCAAGGGAGCGUAGGUGGCUUGUUAAGUCCGUUGUGAAAGUUUGCGGCUCAACCGUCAAAUUGCAGUUGAAACUGGCAGUCUUGAGUACAGUAGAGGUGUGCGGAAUUCGUGGUGUAGCAGGGAAAUGCUGAGAUAUCGCGAAGAACUCCGAUUGCGAAGGCAGCUCACUGGACAGCAACUGACACUGAGGCUCGAAAGUGUGGGUAUCGAACAGGAUUAGAUACCCUUGUAGUC